Molecule: ribosomal RNA, 253 nt
Filed under: uncultured bacterium
Lineage: Bacteria
Description: partial 16S ribosomal RNA
Rfam family: Bacterial small subunit ribosomal RNA
Source: RNAcentral
UACGUAGGGGGCAAGCGUUGUCCGGAAUCACUGGGCGUAAAGCGCGCGCAGGCGGUCAUCUACGUCUGGGGUGAAAGCCCGGAGCUCAACUCCGGGAUUGCCUUGGAUACGGGAUGACUUGAGGAUCGGAGAGGCAAGGGGAAUUCCACGUGUAGCGGUGAAAUGCGUAGAGAUGUGGAGGAACACCUGUGGCGAAGGCGGCUUCCUGGACAGUUACUGACGCUGAGACGCGAAAGCGUGGGGAGCAAACAGG